This 542-nucleotide ribosomal RNA is filed under the name Ascomycota sp. RNAcentral's name for it is "SSU rRNA". It matches the Rfam family "Eukaryotic small subunit ribosomal RNA", at positions 550 to 1098 of the family's 1831-position model. The record is from RNAcentral. Lineage: Eukaryota; Fungi; Ascomycota.
GGAGGGCAAGUCUGGUGCCCGCAGCCGCGGUAAUUCCAGCUCCAAUAGCGUAUAUUAAAGUUGUUGUGGUUAAAAAGCUCGUAGUUGAACCUUGGGCCUGGCUGGCCGGUCCGCCUCACCGCGUGUACUGGUCCGGCCGGGUCUUUCCCUCUGUGGAACCCCAUGCCCUUCACUGGGUGUGGCGGGGAAACAGGACUUUUACUUUGAAAAAAUUAGAGUGCUCCAGGCAGGCCUAUGCUCGAAUACAUUAGCAUGGAAUAAUAGAAUAGGACGUGUGGUUCUAUUUUGUUGGUUUCUAGGACCGCCGUAAUGAUUAAUAGGGACAGUCGGGGGCAUCAGUAUUCAAUUGUCAGAGGUGAAAUUCUUGGAUUUAUUGAAGACUAACUACUGCGAAAGCAUUUGCCAAGGAUGUUUUCAUUAAUCAGGAACGAAAGUUAGGGGAUCGAAGACGAUCAGAUACCGUCGUAGUCUUAACCAUAAACUAUGCCGACUAGGGAUCGGACGAUGUUAUUUUUUGACUCGUUCGGCACCUUACGGGAAAC